UGGGGAAUUUUGGACAAUGGGCGAAAGCCUGAUCCAGCAAUGCCGCGUGUGUGAAGAAGGCCUUCGGGUUGUAAAGCACUUUUGUCCGGAAAGAAAUCCUUGGCUCUAAUACAGUCGGGGGAUGACGGUACCGGAAGAAUAAGCACCGGCUAACUACGUGCCAGCAGCCGCGGUAAUACGUAGGGUGCAAGCGUUAAUCGGAAUUACUGGGCGUAAAGCGUGCGCAGGCGGUUUGCUAAGACCGAUGUGAAAUCCCCGGGCUCAACCUGGGAACUGCAUUGGUGACUGGCAGGCUAGAGUAUGGCAGAGGGGGGUAGAAUUCCACGUGUAGCAGUGAAAUGCGUAGAGAUGUGGAGGAAUACCGAUGGCGAAGGCAGCCCCCUGGGCCAAUACUGACGCUCAUGCACGAAAGCGUGGGGAGCAAACAGGAUUAGAUACCCUGGUAGUCCACGCCCUAAAACGAUGUCAACUAGUUGUUGGGGAUUCAUUUCCUAGUAACGUAGCUAACGCGUGAAGUUGACCGCCUGGGGAGUACGGUCGCAAGAUUAAAACUUAAAGGAAUUGACGGGGUCAUGCUGUUUCCU
Molecule: ribosomal RNA, 584 nt
Filed under: uncultured bacterium
Lineage: Bacteria
Description: partial 16S ribosomal RNA
Rfam family: Bacterial small subunit ribosomal RNA
Source: RNAcentral